UUUGCCGGCGAGCGGCGGACGGGGUGAGUAGUGCCUGGGAGAUUGCGCAGGUCAGAGGGGGAUAACAGUUGGAAACGACUGCUAAUACCGCAUACGCCCUACGGGGGAAAGCAGGGGACCUUCGGGCCUUGCGACGAUUGGAUAUGCCCAGGUGGGAUUAGCUUGUUGGUGAGGUAAUGGCUCACCAAGGCGACGAUCCCUAGCUGGUCUGAUAGGAUGAUCAGCCACACUGGAACUGAGACACGGUCCACACUCCUACGGGAGGCAGCAUUGGGGAAUAUUGCACAAUGGGGGAAACCCUGAUGCAGCCAUGCCGCGUGUGUGAAGAAGGUCUUCGGGUUGUAAAGCACUUUCAGCGAGGAGGAAAGGUUGAUGCCUAAUACGUAUCAGCUGUGACGUUACUCGCAGAAGAAGCACCGGCUAACUCCGUGCCAGCAGCCGCGGUAAUACGGAGGGUGCAAGCGUUAAUCGGAAUUACUGGGCGUAAAGCGCACGCAGGCGGUUGGAUAAUUAGAUGUGAAAGCCCCGGGCUCAACCUGGGAAUUGCAUUUAAAACUGUCCAGCUAGAGUCUUGUAGAGGGGGGUAAAAU
RNAcentral lists this ribosomal RNA (590 nucleotides) under Aeromonas sp. M9-G-36-28-S-D. Its description in RNAcentral is "bacterial SSU rRNA". It matches the Rfam family "Bacterial small subunit ribosomal RNA", at positions 84 to 667 of the family's 1533-position model. Lineage: Bacteria; Pseudomonadati; Pseudomonadota; Gammaproteobacteria; Aeromonadales; Aeromonadaceae. The record is from RNAcentral.